Molecule: transfer RNA, 79 nt
Filed under: Ulvibacter antarcticus
Lineage: Bacteria; Pseudomonadati; Bacteroidota; Flavobacteriia; Flavobacteriales; Flavobacteriaceae
Also listed under: 1 other name
Rfam family: tRNA
About the family: Transfer RNA (tRNA) molecules are approximately 80 nucleotides in length. Their secondary structure includes four short double-helical elements and three loops (D, anti-codon, and T loops).
Source: RNAcentral
UGAUGUGGUGGAAUUGGUAGACACGCCGGACUUAAAAUCCUGUGCUCUUUUGGGCGUGCGGGUUCAAGUCCCGCCAUCA